CUUCCCAUUUGACUACCACCUAUUUGCUUUACAAAAUAAGUGGCUAUGCUUAUGGGAUAAAGAAAUGACUGCCAUAGUCUGAAGGAGAAGACUUACAAUAUCUUUUUCCUAUAUGAAAUGGCAGAACAUACUACA
Small nucleolar RNA from Varanus komodoensis (Komodo dragon), 135 nucleotides. The record is from Ensembl. NCBI's taxonomy places the organism in Eukaryota, Metazoa, Chordata, Lepidosauria, Squamata, Varanidae.